GAUAAACGCUGGCGGCGUGCUUAACACAUGCAAGUCGAACGAAGUUUUUCCUUCGGGAGAAACUUAGUGGCGGACGGGUGAGUAACGCGUGGGUAACCUGCCCUGUACAGGGGGACAACAGCUGUAAACGGCUGCUAAUACCGCAUAAGCCCUUAGCACUGCAUGGUGCAUAGGGAAAAGGAGCAAUCCGGUACAGGAUGGACCCGCGUCUGAUUAGCCAGUUGGCAGGGUAACGGCCUACCAAAGCGACGAUCAGUAGCCGAUCUGAGAGGAUGUACGGCCACAUUGGGACUGAGACACGGCCCAGACUCCUACGGGAGGCAGCAGUGGGGAAUAUUGCACAAUGGAGGAAACUCUGAUGCAGCGACGCCGCGUGAGUGAAGAAGUAUUUCGGUAUGUAAAGCUCUAUCAGCAGGGAAGAAAAUGACGGUACCUGGCUAAGAAGCACCGGCUAAAUACGUG
This 462-nucleotide ribosomal RNA is filed under the name uncultured bacterium. Its description in RNAcentral is "partial 16S ribosomal RNA". It matches the Rfam family "Bacterial small subunit ribosomal RNA", at positions 28 to 507 of the family's 1533-position model. The record is from RNAcentral.